AGUGAACGCUGGCGGUAGGCCUAACACAUGCAAGUCGAACGGCAGCACAGUAAGAGCUUGCUCUUACGGGUGGCGAGUGGCGGACGGGUGAGGAAUACAUCGGAAUCUACUUUUUCGUGGGGGAUAACGUAGGGAAACUUACGCUAAUACCGCAUACGACCUACGGGUGAAAGCAGGGGAUCUUCGGACCUUGCGCGAUUGAAUGAGACGAUGUCGGAUUAGCUAGUUGGCGGGGUAAAGGCACACCAAGGCGACGAUCCGUAGCUGGCCUGAGAGGAUGAUCGGCCACACUGGAACUGAGACACGGUCCAGACUCCUACGGGAGGCAGCAGUGGGGAAUAUUGGACAAUGGGCGCAAGCCUGAUCCAGCCAUACCGCGUGGGUGAAGAAGGCCUUCGGGUUGUAAAGCCCUUUUGUUGGGAAAGAAAAGCAGCAGGUUAAUACCCCGCUGUUCUGACGGUACCCAAAGAAUAAGCACCGGCUAACUUCGUG
This 492-nucleotide ribosomal RNA is filed under the name uncultured bacterium. RNAcentral describes it as "partial 16S ribosomal RNA". It matches the Rfam family "Bacterial small subunit ribosomal RNA", at positions 29 to 507 of the family's 1533-position model. The record is from RNAcentral.